RNAcentral lists this transfer RNA (69 nucleotides) under Ictidomys tridecemlineatus (thirteen-lined ground squirrel). RNAcentral describes it as "Spermophilus tridecemlineatus (thirteen-lined ground squirrel) tRNA". It matches the Rfam family "tRNA". From Rfam's summary of the family: Transfer RNA (tRNA) molecules are approximately 80 nucleotides in length. Their secondary structure includes four short double-helical elements and three loops (D, anti-codon, and T loops). Lineage: Eukaryota; Metazoa; Chordata; Mammalia; Rodentia; Sciuridae. The record is from Rfam by way of RNAcentral.
GGGGCUGUAGCUCAAUGGUAGAGCACUCGCCUAGCAUGCGUGAGGCACUGGAUUCAAUCCUCAGCACCA